CCUACGGGAGGCAGCAGUGAGGAAUCUUGCGCAAUGGGCGAAAGCCUGACGCAGCGACGCCGCGUGGAGGAUGAAGGCCUUCGGGUCGUAAACUCCUGUCGAGAGGGACGAAAGCUGGGGAAGCGAAUAACUUCCUCGGUUGACGGUACCUGCAAAGGAAGCCCCGGCUAACUCCGUGCCAGCAGCCGCGGUAAUACGGAGGGGGCUAGCGUUGUUCGGAAUUACUGGGCGUAAAGGGCGCGUAGGUGGCCGCGCAAGUCGAACGUGAAAUCCCUCGGCUCAACCGGGGAACUGCGUCCGAUACUGCGUGGCUUGAGUCCCGGAGAGGGUAGUGGAAUUCCCAGUGUAGCGGUGAAAUGCGUAGAUAUUGGGAGGAACACCAGUGGCGAAGGCGGCUACCUGGACGGGUACUGACACUGAGGCGCGAAAGCUAGGGGAGCAAACAGGAUUAGAUACCCUGGUAGUCCUAGCUGUAAACGAUGGGCACUUGGUGUUGCGGGUAUCGACCCCUGCAGUGCCGAAGCUAACGCAUUAAGUGCCCCAACAGUGGGGAGUACGGUCGCAAGGCUGAAACUCAAAGGAAUUUGACGG
This 591-nucleotide ribosomal RNA is filed under the name uncultured Acidobacteriota bacterium. RNAcentral's name for it is "bacterial SSU rRNA". It matches the Rfam family "Bacterial small subunit ribosomal RNA", at positions 338 to 916 of the family's 1533-position model. The record is from RNAcentral. Lineage: Bacteria; Pseudomonadati; Acidobacteriota.